CAAACAUUAUCACCAUCCAUAAGGUUCCGGGGACUGAGCACAGUGGAGCAGAGUGGCUGAGAAGAUGAUCACCGCCACCAGCAUGGCCACCGGUGGUAGCAGCUCCGUCUUUCUCUCCGUCCCAAAACUACCAUCCCAAAAGUUGCAAAUUUUAUCUCACAAACAAGUCUUUUUCACAAACAAAAAGUGGUCUACAUUGCCCUUUCUCUGUUCUUCUUCAACUCCACUUGUAGAAGAAGAAAAUGGGUCGACUGACGAUGUCCUUCCAGCUUCGAUAAAUGAAGAAUCUAGUUCAGUUUUACCUCCCGGAGCAUGUAAGGGUUGUGGGAGAUUGGAGAUUGAAAGUGGUUGUAAUGGCGAAGGACGGAUACAAG
This 374-nucleotide unclassified non-coding RNA is filed under the name Hevea brasiliensis (rubber tree). The record is from RNAcentral. Lineage: Eukaryota; Viridiplantae; Streptophyta; Magnoliopsida; Malpighiales; Euphorbiaceae.